This 239-nucleotide ribosomal RNA is filed under the name uncultured bacterium. RNAcentral's name for it is "partial 16S ribosomal RNA". It matches the Rfam family "Bacterial small subunit ribosomal RNA", at positions 28 to 266 of the family's 1533-position model. The record is from RNAcentral.
GACGAACGCUGGCGGCGUGCUUAACACAUGCAAGUCGAGCGGUAAGGCCCUUUCGGGGGUACACGAGCGGCGAACGGGUGAGUAACACGUGGGUGACCUGCCCUCAGCUCUGGGAUAAGCCUGGGAAACCGGGUCUAAUAACUGGAUAUGACUCCAUGACGCAUGUUGGUGGGGUGGAAAGCCUUGUGCGGCUGAGGAUGGGCCCGCGGCCUAUCAGCUUGUUGGUGGGGUGANGGCCU